CCUACGGGGGGCAGCAGUGGGGAAUAUUGGACAAUGGGCGAAAGCCUGAUCCAGCCAUGCCGCGUGUGUGAAGAAGGCCUUCGGGUUGUAAAGCACUUUCAGUGGGGAAGAAAGCCUUGGGGCUAAUACCCUCGAGGAAGGACAUCACCCACAGAAGAAGCACCGGCUAACUCCGUGCCAGCAGCCGCGGUAAUACGGAGGGUGCGAGCGUUAAUCGGAAUUACUGGGCGUAAAGCGCGCGUAGGCGGUCUGAUAAGCCGGUUGUGAAAGCCCCGGGCUCAACCUGGGAACGGCAUCCGGAGCUGUCAGGCUAGAGUGCAGGAGAGGAAGGUAGAAUUCCCGGUGUAGCGGUGAAAUGCGUAGAGAUCGGGAGGAAUACCAGUGGCGAAGGCGGCCUUCUGGACUGACACUGACGCUGAGGUGCGAAAGCGUGGGUAGCAAACAGGAUUACAUACCCGAGUAGUC
Molecule: ribosomal RNA, 465 nt
Filed under: Vreelandella stevensii
Lineage: Bacteria; Pseudomonadati; Pseudomonadota; Gammaproteobacteria; Oceanospirillales; Halomonadaceae
Description: partial 16S ribosomal RNA
Rfam family: Bacterial small subunit ribosomal RNA
Source: RNAcentral